CCCUUAGAUGUUCUGGGCCGCACGCGCGCUACACUGAUGCAUUCAACGAGUCUAAAACCUGGUCUGAUAGGGCUGGGUAAUCUUUUGAAUGUGCAUCGUGAUUGGGAUAGAUGAUUGCAAUUCUUCAUCUUCAACGAGGAAUGCCUAGUAAACGCAAGUCAUCAGCUUGCAUUGAUUACGUCCCUGUCCUUUGUACACACCGCCCGUCGCUCCUACCGAUUGAAUGUUCCGAUGAAUACCAUGGACUGAGAGUAUGAAUGGGUUCGCCUAUUUCUGCUUCUCGGGAAGUGGAGUAAAUCUUAACAUUUAGAGGAAGGAGAAGUCGUAACA
This 330-nucleotide ribosomal RNA is filed under the name uncultured eukaryote. RNAcentral's name for it is "partial 18S ribosomal RNA". It matches the Rfam family "Eukaryotic small subunit ribosomal RNA", at positions 1470 to 1796 of the family's 1831-position model. The record is from RNAcentral.